CGUAUGGUUUAUGAUAACAUUGACGAGGACUGGCACUCUUAUUUAAUUUAUAAGCGGAAAUGCACCCGCAUUGCUUAACGGAGUUGGUUAAUAAGAUUCCUAUGGUUUGUGUUAUAGUAGGAAGUGGAGAUGACUUCCCAGAAAACUUCCAGGAUGAGUCUGCCAAAAAUUUUAGGUACACUAACCCCAUAUCCAUUCCACUAGCAGGCCUUGAUGGGAGUGAUCAAUACCGACAUCAA
RNAcentral lists this long non-coding RNA (239 nucleotides) under Elaeis guineensis (African oil palm). RNAcentral describes it as "long non-coding RNA (EGUI_LNC006054)". Lineage: Eukaryota; Viridiplantae; Streptophyta; Magnoliopsida; Arecales; Arecaceae. The record is from RNAcentral.